This 213-nucleotide unclassified non-coding RNA is filed under the name plant metagenome. Its description in RNAcentral is "partial contains small subunit ribosomal RNA, internal transcribed spacer 1, and 5.8S ribosomal RNA". The record is from RNAcentral.
UUUCCGUAGGUGAACCUGCGGAAGGAUCAUUCAUAAUAAGUGUUUUAUGGCACUUUUUUAAAUCCAUAUCCACCUUGUGUGCAAUGUCAGGGUUGUUUUUUCUCUCGAGAGGAUCAACCCCAAACAUCAACUAUAUCUAAACUCUUUGUCUGAAAAAUAUUAUGAAUAAAACAAUACAAAAUACAACUUUCAACAACGGAUCUCUUGGCUCUC